This 444-nucleotide ribosomal RNA is filed under the name uncultured bacterium. Its description in RNAcentral is "bacterial SSU rRNA". It matches the Rfam family "Bacterial small subunit ribosomal RNA", at positions 330 to 792 of the family's 1533-position model. The record is from RNAcentral.
GCCAGACUCCUACGGGAGGCAGCAGUGGGGAAUAUUGCACAAUGGGGGAAACCCUGAUGCAGCAACGCCGCGUGAGUGAAGAAGUCAUUCGUGAUGUAAAGCUCUAUCAGCAGGGAAGAAAAUGACGGUACCUGAGUAAGAAGCCCCAGCUAACUACGUGCCAGCAGCCGCGGUAAUACGUAGGUGGCGAGCGUUGUCCGGAAUUACUGGGUGUAAAGGGAGCGUAGGCGGGAGAGCAAGUCGACUGUGAAAUCUAUGGGCUUAACCCGUAGCUGCGAUCGAAACUGUUCAUCUUGAGUGAAGUAGAGGCAGGCGGAAUUCCUAGUGUAGCGGUGAAAUGCGUAAAUAUUAGGAGGAACACCAGUGGCGAAGGCGGCCUGCUGGGCUUUAACUGACGCUGAGGCUCGAAAGCGUGGGUAGCAAACAGGAUUAGAUACCCUGGUA